This 468-nucleotide ribosomal RNA is filed under the name uncultured bacterium. Its description in RNAcentral is "partial 16S ribosomal RNA". It matches the Rfam family "Bacterial small subunit ribosomal RNA", at positions 28 to 507 of the family's 1533-position model. The record is from RNAcentral.
GACGAACGCUGGCGGCGUGCCUAACACAUGCAAGUCGAACGGAAAGGCCCUGCUUUUGUGGGGUGCUCGAGUGGCGAACGGGUGAGUAACACGUGAGUAACCUGCCCUACAUUUUGGGAUAACUUCACGAAACUAAGGCUAAUCUCGGACCGGAGCCCCUCCACCAUGGAGGGGGUUGGAUAGUCUCGGCGUUGGGGGAUGGAUUCGCGGCUUAUGAGGUUGUUGGUGGGGUAGGGGCUUACCAAGCCUUUGGCCGGUAGCCGGCCUGUGAGGGUGGCCGGCCACAUUGGAGCUAACCUCCGUCCCAGCCUCCUACGGGAAGCAGCACAGGGGAAUAUUGCACAAUGGGCGGAAGCCUGAUGCAGCAACGCCGCGUGCGAGAUGCCGGCCUUCGGGUUGUGAACCGCUUUCGCCUGUGAAGAAGCGUGAGUGACGGUAAUGGGUAAAGAGGCACCGGCUAACUACGUG